Molecule: long non-coding RNA, 463 nt
Filed under: Mus caroli (Ryukyu mouse)
Lineage: Eukaryota; Metazoa; Chordata; Mammalia; Rodentia; Muridae
Description: lncRNA (MGP_CAROLIEiJ_G0002999.1)
Rfam family: Small nucleolar RNA SNORD60 (bases 200-277)
Source: RNAcentral
UCCCGAGUGCCUAGGUUUUGUAAGGAGCGUUUUGUGAGUAGUGGUCGCAGAAUCGAACUCAGAGGACCUCUGCUACAGAUCUGUCUUCCUCCCGAGCUAAAGUGCUUUAGUCCUGAGGGUUUAACCCUUUCCCAUUUUUCUUCUGACUCCAUUUUUGCAGGUAUGAACCGGUCGGGCCUGGCUUCCCUUUUCAGCCCCAAGCCCGUGAUGAAUUAAUUUCUGACACCUCGUAUGAAAACUGCAUGUGUGGUCUGAUUACAUUAUAAGACUGAGGCUUGGGCGCGACGUCAUAAUUUGGAUGGGUUUUGAGUGAAAAGCUAACCAAAGUAAAGAUUUAUGUUGUUUGGUUUUUCAGGUCAUAAUGAGUCGGCUGCAUCAAGAGAUCCAACGAGUAGGAGUGUUGGCUGGUAAGCUGGGCAUCCGUGUAUCUGAGUUUCUUAGCAAUAAAGUGAAAUGCAAUCUU